Non-coding RNA from Sus scrofa (pig), 3661 nucleotides. NCBI's taxonomy places the organism in Eukaryota, Metazoa, Chordata, Mammalia, Artiodactyla, Suidae. The record is from RefSeq and is a predicted model, not a curated record.
AUUUUGCACUAGGAACUCGGUCUGAAAUUCCGGGAGGAGGCCUCUGCGUGCGGCACCCUGUGAUCCAGUGAAACUAGACUAAGCACAAACCGAGAAAUGAAGGUUGUCUUCAUAUUCAAGAAGAGGAAAUUAUGCAUAUCAUGUACCCUAGAGGAGAGAAAUCCCGGAGGCCACCUCAAGAGUUAAUGUCCUGAUUCAGUAAGAAAUGACCAGAGAACUCCAAAACAAUUUGAGGCAUAGAAUUGUAAAAUUCAACAGGUACUAUGAAGAUAGGUAAUGAGAGAGAGAGAGAGAGAGACAAAGAAAAAGUUUGAGAAAAUAAUCAUGUGUUUGCAUACCUAAUUUUGGAAUUCAGGGGUCUCAGCCAAGAACUCAAAAGGUAGUGGAAAAUUAUUUUUCUUCUCUACAAGGGAAAAUCCACAAAGGUGGGCAGAGAACCAGAGACAAGUUUGCCUUGAGGUAGUGUAUCUAAUAUACCUCUGAAAAUCCCAAGGCAAGAAGUUCCUGUCCACUGUUCUACAAGGGAUAAAAUCCUGUGUUUGGUGGUGAGUGAUGUUGACUUUAGGCUCAGAGCAAGAUGAGGUACAAUCUCUCCUCAGCCUCCUCUGUUUCAUUCCAUGGGUACCUGCCUGACUGAUUACGUACUCUGAAUGGAUACCUGACCAAAAAAAAUUUCAGGGCAGUUCAAUGUUUUAUGCCUCUGAUAUUGCAAUUCAUCCUGAGGUCUUAUUCCAAAAAUUAAAAAAAUAUUAUUUCCAGGUCAUUGGAACUUAAAAUUCUGAAACAGUUAAAACAAAAAGGACAAAGAAAAUAAAUACUAAUAUUCUAAAAAGCUCUUCCACAAAGGAUUUAGAUAGUAGUCUAAACUGAAUAGUCAAUGAAUGUUAACAAACUAAGAUUUAUUGAAUUAUAUUUAAGAUUGUGUUGUAUCUUUAUUUAAUUUGAUUGUACUAUAGGUUUUAACAGGUAUGUAAAUAUUAAAACAAGAUAUGCAUUGUGAAAUUGAGUAGGCUAAUGGAUUGAUCAUUUUGCCCUACCAAAUUAUUUCAUAUUAUGUUUGCCCUCAUCUCAGCAGAAACACACACAUACAUCCUACCUAUACACAGACACACUUGAUGUGUUUCAUAAAAGCCUUGAGUCAGAGCAUGCAGAACAAAUAAAAAUCCCUGUUUUUUUCUUAAAUCCUGGGGACACUGUAAAAUUUAUUAAACUUCAUUAUACUUCAAUAUGUUGUUUGUUGCAGAUUCUUCAAGAUUUGAAGGAAAAGGUGAUGAACAUUUAUUAAAUCAGUUCACUGAGCACUGAGCAAUGGCUUAAGGGAAGGUGAACUUGACCUGAAAGACAGUUUUAAAAUUAUGACCAAUUUGUUUUCUGUCUCAACCCAUCUUUGUACUAUCACGUGAUAUGACAUUAUGCAAUAUGAAGAAUUAUUAAAAAUAGCUUUAAUAUUAAGGAUUUUCUAUCUCAGCACAUAAUGCAAGAAAAAAUAUAAUUUAGCACAUACCUAUGUCCUUUGUAUUAAAAAAUUGCAGUUACUACCUAUGUAUAUGAUGUGAUACAAAAAUCAACUCAUGUGCAUAGUGUGACUGAAAACAUUCAAUGUGUGAGAUUCAGUCAUCAGCUGCCAUCUUGUAUAUAAACUUAAUCUGUCUAGUGGUUAGCCUUUAUUUUCAGACCCUGAAGUUACAUCAGAGACACUAUCUUCUGCCAAAAAGGUAAUGUCACUUGAAUUUAAAAUGAAUAUGACAUAUCUGGUUAUUACAUGGAUAUUUUAUCUGACAGUUGCUACUACCAAAUUGUGAAAUGACUGUGUGUUGAUUUUGGUUUAUGAGAAAAACAUCAUAUAGUUGUCAUGUUUGUCUUUAGUUGUGCAGUGGCUUUGAACUUGUUAUUUUUAUAAGUUUCGUGUUAAAUCGUAUUAAGUUUUGCUAUGCAUCAUUUUAUAUUUCAAAGUGAUUCCACAUAUAUUCAUAAUAAACCCUUAACUUAGAUCAUAUUAUAUCAAAUCUAAGACUACUGUGAAGCCUAAUGAGUUUGUAGGGACCCAAGCCAUAUUAUAAAAUGAAAACCUGGGAUCAGAGAGAAUUAGAAACAUCAAUAACUAUCACUUACCAGAAUUUCCCAUUAGAAUAUUUUAUGAGUGUUGCAAACUAAAGCUUGAGCUGGGCCCAGACUUCUAAACAAAUGGAUUUGUUCUAGGGAAUGAGGCAUGGCCAGUACAUUCCUUAAAUAUACAGACAUAUAAUGGGACACUUUAGAUUGUGUCAGUAAGAAAUGAGGAAAAGUAUUGCAAGAAAUAGAGAAAAUAAGGUUUAGCUAGGUAACCAUAUAGGAUGUGGGUGUUGAAAUGAACCCCAAGAGAGGGAACUCGAAAGAAACAUAAAUUAACAUGUGCAAUGGGUAAGAAAAACAAGACAGUAGGAGAAAUGGUAUAAUUUACUGAGCUGAAAAUUACUAAGGACUCAACAGAGAUCCCCUUAAGUUAGUUAAAUUUAAUACAGAAAAAAAAUUCUAAAUACAUAAAUCCAUGAAUCUGAACCUAUCUGCGUGCACCUGGCUUUUUUUUCAUUUUAAAGGAUUCUAUCAUGAAUAGGAUAUGCUGGAUUGAAAAUAAUUUUGCUGUGGUCCAAAAAUAGGCAGAGACUCUCACUAAAAACAAAUGUUAUUUAAUUGAUGGAGUUUACUUCAUUUUUGUUUAACAUACAAAAACUAAUUGCUGAUAGAACCCUAGUUUUAUAAUUCUGAUAUGUUACUUUAGGUACACUCUCUCUGUUUCACACUAUUUCACCAAAACAUGACAAUACUAAUUGUUUGACUCCACUGCAGGGGUUAUUUUCCUCAGUUUUGUAAUUCCGAUUAAUAAUAUUGUUUUAAAAUGCAGAUGUUACAAAAUAACUAUCAAAACUAUGGUCAUUUUUUGUAGCUGCAAUAAUCAGAGGUUUAAAAAGGAGAUUAGAUUGACAAAUGAUUAGUAAUUCCUCCACUUGACCCAAAGCACAUAUGUUUAACUAUAUCUUGCUAGAACAAUCGACUCAGUAGCAUUUCAUGAAAGGCAAUUUCUGUAUAUUUUUAUAUGAGGCAUACUGGGAAUGGUAAAUGGGUUCAUUCUAUCCCUCCUAGAUUUUGGGUGUCUGAUUCAGAUGAAUCAGAUGAUUAAAAUGUUCUGUAGUUGAAACUAUUUUGAAGCUACCUGUGGAAAAAUUUAAGAAGAGCAUCACUCAUGAACCAGUUAUACAAAAAUUAUUUUGGAACCCACUGCAUUUGCCCAUAAGAGUACAUCUUGAAAAGAAUUCAGGGUGGGAAAAAACAAAAAAGAAUGAGGCACUUUGCGCUUUGGAUAAAUGGGCACCUAUAUAGUUAGAUGUAUAUCUCAGGAAGAAUAUCCAUGACCCAGAUUAUUGUAUCUUCCCAUAUGGUCAUUAACAUGAGAUCUCUGUUCUUUGUAGUUAGCAGUAAUUUUUAACUAAGAUGCAAGAUGGACUACAUAUGUUUCCCAGCCAAAAAAAUUAUAUAUACACUGGUUCCUUCCUAUCUCUUCAGAGCAGUUCCUUAGAGAUACCAAGAGGCUAUAGCCCUCAGUAAAACCUGUAAAAAAUAAACUCACAACUCUCAUGCUCUGUGUUUUUCUUUGAUAUGCCAUUUUAAAUUGAGAAUACAUAAA